Molecule: small nucleolar RNA, 104 nt
Organism: Colobus angolensis palliatus
Lineage: Eukaryota; Metazoa; Chordata; Mammalia; Primates; Cercopithecidae
Source: Ensembl
AUCCUUUUGUAGUUCAUAAGCAUGAUGACUGGGUUUUCAUGCUUGUGUGUGAGAUGUGCUUCCCUCAAACCUUGUUAUGAUGGUGGCACAUUACCCAUCUGAUG